GAUGAAGAACGCAGCGAAAUGCGAUACGUAAUGUGAAUUGCAGAAUUCAGUGAAUCAUCGAAUCUUUGAACGCACCUUGCGCUCCUUGGUAUUCCUUGGAGCAUGCCUGUUUGAGUAUCAUGAGCAAAUCUCAAAGUCGAUCCUUUUGUUAAUUCAAUUGGUUUGCUUUGGACUUGGAGGCCUUGCAGAUUUCACCGUCUGCUCCUCUUAAAUGCAUUAGCUGGAUCUCAGUAUUAUGCUUGGUUCCACUCGGCGUGAUAAGUAUCACUCGCUGAGGACACUGUAAAAGGUGGCCAGGAAAAUACUGAUCGAACCGCUUCUAACGGUCUAUUAACUUAGACAAUUACCCUUAAGUUUGAUCUCAAAUCAGGUAGGACUACCCGCUGAACUUAAGCAUAUCAAUAAGCGGAGGA
Molecule: unclassified non-coding RNA, 413 nt
Filed under: soil metagenome
Description: partial contains 5.8S ribosomal RNA, internal transcribed spacer 2, and large subunit ribosomal RNA
Rfam family: 5.8S ribosomal RNA (bases 1-120)
Source: RNAcentral